This 348-nucleotide ribosomal RNA is filed under the name uncultured bacterium. Its description in RNAcentral is "bacterial SSU rRNA". It matches the Rfam family "Bacterial small subunit ribosomal RNA", at positions 1 to 334 of the family's 1533-position model. The record is from RNAcentral.
GACGUGACUUCUAGAGUUUGUAUCCUGGCUCAGGAUGAACGCUGGCGGCGUGCCUAACACAUGCAAGUCGAACGAAGCACUUUGAUUCCUUCGGGAUGAUGAGUGACUGAGUGGCGGACGGGUGAGUAACGCGUGGGUAACCUGCCUCACACAGGGGGAUAACAGUUGGAAACGACUGCUAAUACCGCAUAAGCGCACAGUACCGCAUGGUACAGUGUGAAAAGUUUUUCGGUGUGAGAUGGACCCGCGUCUGAUUAGCUAGUUGGCGGGGUAACGGCCCACCAAGGCGACGAUCAGUAGCCGGCCUGAGAGGGUGGACGGCCACAUUGGGACUGAGACACGGCCCAA